This 311-nucleotide ribosomal RNA is filed under the name uncultured soil bacterium. RNAcentral's name for it is "bacterial SSU rRNA". It matches the Rfam family "Bacterial small subunit ribosomal RNA", at positions 26 to 334 of the family's 1533-position model. The record is from RNAcentral.
AGAGUGAACGCUGGCGGCAGGCCUAACACAUGCAAGUCGAACGGCAGCACAGCCGGAGCAAUCCGGUGGGUGGCGAGUGGCGGACGGGUGAGGAAUACAUCGGAAUCUACCUUGUCGUGGGGGAUAACGUAGGGAAACUUACGCUAAUACCGCAUACGAACUAUGGUUGAAAGCGGCGGACCGCAAGGCGUCGCGCGAUUGGAUGAGCCGAUGUCCGAUUAGCUAGUUGGCGGGGUAAAGCCCACCAAGGCGACGAUCGGUAGCUGGUCUGAGAGGAUGAUCAGCCACACUGGAACUGAGACACGGUCCAG